CCCCCAGUGGCCUAAUGGAUAAGGCAUUGGCCUUCUAAGCCAAGAAUUGUGGGUUCAAGUCCCAUCUGGGGUA
This is a non-coding RNA of Gopherus evgoodei (Goodes thornscrub tortoise), 73 nucleotides long. The record is from the annotation of a RefSeq genome assembly. Lineage: Eukaryota; Metazoa; Chordata; Testudines; Testudinidae.